UGAACUCACAGUUUAACAUAAUGGACAUAUCGGCCAGACUGCUGAUUAUCUUACUGUUCUGGGGAGGUGUUGAUGGUCAGACUCUGACAGAAUCUGAACCAGUCAUUAAAAGGCCUGGAGACUCCCACAGACUGACCUGCACAGCCUCUGGAUUCACAUUUAGCAGCUAUGAUAUGCACUGGGUCAGACAGACUCCUGGGAAAGUACUGGAAUGGGUUGCCGAAGUUAGUACUGGUAGUAGCAAAUACUACUCUCAGUCAGUCCAAGGCCGGUUUACCAUCUCCAGAGACAACAGCAGACAGCAGCUGUAUCUGCAGAUGAACAGCCUGAAGACUGAAGAUUCUGCUGUUUAUUAUUGUGCUCGAGAGUCACAGUGAUAC
Pundamilia nyererei is the source of this 380-nucleotide non-coding RNA. The record is from the annotation of a RefSeq genome assembly. Lineage: Eukaryota; Metazoa; Chordata; Actinopteri; Cichliformes; Cichlidae.